RNAcentral lists this ribosomal RNA (409 nucleotides) under uncultured bacterium. RNAcentral describes it as "bacterial SSU rRNA". It matches the Rfam family "Bacterial small subunit ribosomal RNA", at positions 56 to 513 of the family's 1533-position model. The record is from RNAcentral.
UGCAGUCGACGAGGCUUCGGCCUUAGUGGCGCACGGGUGCGUAACGCGUGGGAAUCUGCCCUUGGGUUCGGAAUAACAGCGGGAAACUGCUGCUAAUACCGGAUGAUGUCGAUAAGACCAAAGAUUUAUCGCCUGAGGAUGAGCCCGCGUUGGAUUAGGUAGUUGGUGGGGUAAAGGCCUACCAAGCCGACGAUCCAUAGCUGGUCUGAGAGGAUGAUCAGCCACACUGGGACUGAGACACGGCCCAGACUCCUACGGGAGGCAGCAGUGGGGAAUAUUGGACAAUGGGCGAAAGCCUGAUCCAGCAAUGCCGCGUGAGUGAUGAAGGCCUUAGGGUUGUAAAGCUCUUUUACCCGGGAUGAUAAUGACAGUACCGGGAGAAUAAGCCCCGGCUAACUCCGUGCCAGCA